This is a long non-coding RNA of Helianthus annuus (common sunflower), 1037 nucleotides long. RefSeq lists it as uncharacterized. The record is from RefSeq and is a predicted model, not a curated record. The transcript has 3 exons. Lineage: Eukaryota; Viridiplantae; Streptophyta; Magnoliopsida; Asterales; Asteraceae.
CCUCUCUCUCCAGCCUACGCUUUCUUUCUCUAACCUUCAGAGCACACCACCACGCUGCCACCGGUCACCCUUUCUCCUGUCGCUGCCGCCGGACAAACACACCUACCUCCGCACCUAGGGUUUCGUCAGCCGCCGCCGGACAAACGCACCUACCUCCUCCCGUCGUCGCCUCCGGACAAACGCACCUGCCUCCGCACCUAGGGUUUCGUCAGAAAACGCCGGACAAACGCACCUACCGCCGCCGCCGUCAGGUGACGGUGGAUUGGACAGAUCGGAAAAGCAGGGGAGUUUGAUGUUGGGUUAUAGGGUUGUGGGAAUAAGUUAAUUAGUAGUAAAAAAUCAGUGUUUUAUUAAGAAUCUUGAAACAGAAUGUUGUGUUAUUGACUUAAUCUUGAUCUUCCUGUGUAAAGUGAUGAGUGUUUGUGUUUGUUGAUUGAGAAAGAAUGUGAAAAGUUUGUGGGGUUUGAUUAUUUGAAUAAGUUGAGAAGUGGGAAGUUGGAUAUGGUUGCUAGACAACAAGCAGAUGAUUGGAUUUUAAAGUUGGAUAUGGUUGCUAGACAACAAGCAGAUGAUUGGAUUUUUAAGAAAGACAAAGAUUGGAUGAUGCAAUUGCUAGCUGUAACCUUAUCACUUGUAUCCAAAAUGGAAGAGACUAAAGUUCCUCACAUUCUUGAUUUAAAGGUUUGUGAAUAAAAAUAUGUAUUUGAAGCAAAAACCAUUCAAAAGAUGGAGCUUCUUAUGCUGACAAUGUUGAAAUGGAGGAUGAAGACAGUGACAUCGUUUUCUUUAAUUCAUGAUUUUUCACCCACCUAUAUCUGUUGUUAGAGAGAGGAGAUAGAGAGGGUUUCAGGUUAGAGAGAGAAGAUAGGUGUAUUUAUUGUUUUAUUUUUAAGUUUUAUACAAAAUGGCCUUAAUAAAAGUUUUUUUUUUGCAAAAUAGCCCAUGGAAAGGUGAAAUGACAAAUAUGCCCUCAUGUGCAAGUCACAUGACCAUAUUUAACAAAAAAAUCUGAUUGAGUUAGAGCUAAAGGACAUAAC